This 107-nucleotide non-coding RNA is filed under the name Clostridiaceae bacterium BL-3. Its description in RNAcentral is "SAM". It matches the Rfam family "SAM riboswitch aptamer (S box leader)". From Rfam's summary of the family: The SAM riboswitch is found upstream of a number of genes which code for proteins involved in methionine or cysteine biosynthesis in Gram-positive bacteria. The SAM riboswitch acts at the level of transcription termination control. The predicted structure consists of a complex stem-loop region followed by a single stem loop terminator region. The record is from RNAcentral. Lineage: Bacteria; Bacillati; Bacillota; Clostridia; Eubacteriales; Clostridiaceae.
AUCUUAUCAAGAGAGGUGGAGGGACUGGCCCUGCGAAGCCCAACAACCAGCAUUACUAUUUUAUGUAUGGUGUUAAUUCCUGCAAGUUGAUUUUUGGGAGAUAAGAA